This 448-nucleotide ribosomal RNA is filed under the name uncultured bacterium. Its description in RNAcentral is "bacterial SSU rRNA". It matches the Rfam family "Bacterial small subunit ribosomal RNA", at positions 29 to 524 of the family's 1533-position model. The record is from RNAcentral.
AACGAACGCUGGUGGCAUGCCUAACACAUGCAAGUCGAACGAGACCUUCGGGUUUAGUGGCGCACGGGUGCGUAACGCGUGGGAAUCUGCCCUUGGGUUCGGAAUAACAGUUAGAAAUGACUGCUAAUACCGGAUAAUGUCUUCGGACCAAAGAUUUAUCGCCCAGGGAUGAGCCCGCGUAGGAUUAGCUAGUUGGUGAGGUAAAGGCUCACCAAGGCGACGAUCCUUAGCUGGUCUGAGAGGAUGAUCAGCCACACUGGGACUGAGACACGGCCCAGACUCCUACGGGAGGCAGCAGUGGGGAAUAUUGGACAAUGGGCGAAAGCCUGAUCCAGCAAUGCCGCGUGAGUGAUGAAGGCCUUAGGGUUGUAAGCUCUUUACCCGGGAUGAUAAUGACAGUACCGGGAGAAUAAGCCCCGGCUAACUUCGUGCCAGCAGCCGCGGUAAU